Scleropages formosus (Asian bonytongue) is the source of this 2105-nucleotide long non-coding RNA. NCBI's taxonomy places the organism in Eukaryota, Metazoa, Chordata, Actinopteri, Osteoglossiformes, Osteoglossidae. The record is from Ensembl.
ACAGCACCACUGAGAACCUUAAAGAUGCCAGGAGGCAGUCUACCAGGAAGAAGGACUGCUGGCUCCUCUUGGUGCUGGAGGUACCAGAAGGGCACACAAACACAGGAGCUUUAUAUCAGACCGGACCUCAAAGUGAUUCCACACUUGAACUCUACUGUGUCCAAAAUCCACCAAGGUUCGAACUUGUCUUUUGGUCUGUCUUUUUGUGGGUUAUACUUGAACUGCAUGUGUCCCGCACAUCUUUUUUUUUUAAAUAGCUUGCUUCAAAGUGCGCCGUGCAGUGCCAAAGUAUUGUGUGCUGGCCACAGAUUUGACUGAAACUUCUGAUGAUGCUUGGUCUUCAUAUUGGCUGGUCUGUCCAGCCUUGUCUGAACGUGGGAGAUGCAUGCAGUCUAUGAAACCUUUUACAUAUCUACUGAAGAAUGUCUUUUUUAAGCCUUUGUUUACCUGUUUUCGGUCAGACAGUUAAUCGAGUCUGCAAAGUGUGUAUUUCAUUCCCUCUCCAGCAGAACUUUCUCAGUCCUGUAGUCAGAAAUUUACAGUAUUAUUCCUUUUAUUCCUGUAAUUUAGCUCUUUAUUGCAUACAGCUCCUCUUUAUCGCUAGAAGUUUUUAAUGCACAACUACCCAACAUCAGAAAAAGAGCUUUUGGUACUCCUGUGUCUGUCUUGUUUAAAUUGUUCCAAUGUAAAUAUUAUUGAUUCGGUCUAUGUAUUUCUAAAAUAUGCAAACACUGUAUAUUACUGCAUUGAUGAAAGGAUCUUGAGCAGAACAUUGGUCUAAAUCGGUACAGUAUUGCAUGAGAGUCCACAAACAUAUCAGGUACUUAUAUGGGCUUUAACUGUUUUUUGUUAUCUUUAUGCAUUUAAAGAAAAAAUUUAUGCAAAUAUCUUCAAAUGUAGCUGUAGUAAUACAGUUUAAUUUUGAAAGUCGUCAUUUCAGAAAGCAGUGGUUCCAAAUUUUGAGUCCAGUGUUAACAGGAAAGAUGGUGGUAGUGCAGUGAGCAUUUGGGAUUGCUACCCCAUACAGGUAAGAUCACAUCUGAAGUAUUUUAUCUGUUUGUUGUUUACAGCAUGGGAUGUAAAAUCCAUAGUAAUUAAGAGCAUUUGUAAAGCACAUUACAGUGCUUCAGCUGAAUUUAAUGUAAAAUAGGUAUGGAUAAUGUCAGCUCAACAUAACGUUCAGUGAUUUUUAACUGUUUAUGGUGUGUUUUUGAAAAGAUGUGUUAUGUGAAAUUUCAGCUGCGAGCACUUUAGAAUUUGAUCCAGUUUUAAUCCAAAGAAGGCAAGGAUCACAGCUGGCCCAAAUGGGAAUGGGUGCAGCAUGUUUAUAGAUGGUGCUAUUGAUACCCCUCAGGGGUAGAUGGGGAUAAUGUGAUGUGGUGGAAUGCUUGCUGCUACAUGCUGAUUGAUACCAAUUACACCGAUAAAAUUUCUUCUUUCUGCUGAGAAUGACACCCACCUUUCCUUUUAAAGCAUUUAUUUGGAAUGGAACUAAUGAACACGACAAUAGAAAUACAUGUUAUGAUGAAUAUGCCUCUGAACACUGAUACAAGUGCUACAUAUCAUAAACUGAUAUUGCUUCUACCCUUUCCUGAAUAAGGGUGAGUGAGGUGUCUUGUACGUUGUCCUGCCUUGUUGACUAGAGACACUAAGGCAGUAGGGCACCUUUACCUAGGAAGCCCAAGUAAGAACAGUCUUGCAGGCCCAGGGGUUCCUAGGGGCUUGAACCCCUUGCAAGGGCUGAGCGUUUGUGACCAUGGAGUAGAUGAGCUAAGAGACACCAAUGGAUGACGACGAGUUCUUUGAAAUUCCUCGUAUUUGCCGAAUCUUGAUUAUGGCACUCCAGCAGAGAGCGCUUCUAACAGUUCUCUGGUGAAAUAACCUUUAAACUAACGUAAUGCAAAGCAGAUGUCAGUGAAGAAUACAGCAUUUGUAUUGUUGCACGAUUUUACAGUUGUAAAUAAGUUUUCUAUUAUUUGAAAUGUGUUGGAUAAUUCUACUUUGGUAAAAUCUCUAUUUAUUUGAAUUCUGUGUAAUUUCAGCAGUCUCUGUGAAACUGCCUGUUAUUCAUUUUGGAAACAAAUAAAAACAAAUAAAAGUAUGCA